GCCCCGCCCCGUCGGCCAGGCCCCGCCCCGUCGGAGCCCCUCCCCCUGGCUGCGGGUAGCCUUCCGCUCGGUCGGAGCCGCGGUCACGGGGCUUGGCGGUGGCCCUCGUCCUUCGUUACUCAGGAGAAAAAAAGAGGGAGAGAGAGAGAGAAAAUCAAGUCGCAGCCGGCUUGGCCCGGUGUUGGGGGCGGUCGCGCGGAACGCCAUCCUGCCUGAAACUCAGGAAACACAAGGUCCCUGGUUGUGUAAUAUGAGUACACUUGAAAGUUCCUCGUCCUUAUCUGGCAACCCAGAUGGAUAAAUACUGGCCCUGAAGAUGCUUUUCUUAAAACUGUUCAGUGCCUACAGACCCACUUUUGUUUAUGUUGGAGCUAGACAGCUCAGGUUUCUCCCUGCCCGAGGGAACACUCUGUUCCCCUUGCUGGAUUCCAGGAGCACAAGUGGCUGCAGAACAGAGCUUGGGAAGAACCAGUUAUUCUUCUGUCAGUUCAAAACUGGGGGCCCCUUCCCUCUAGCAUUCAUCCUCUGCUUGCCGGGGCAUAUCAAUUUCACCCAAAUCACGUGGACUAAGGUGGUGAUGGUGGGCUGUGGUAGGUAUGAUUUCCCCAAAGAAAAUUCAGAUGAAGUCACCAGAGGGAAGAAGGAAGAAUGGAUGUUUAUGCAAAAGACGCAGAUGUCCACAACAGUUCCCACAUGGGAAGAGAAUAAUCCAGGUUUAAGAGCCCUGGCUUGGGACCCCAGUGUCUGGGGAUGGAGUCCCAGCUCUACCAUUUACAAAUUGUGUGACCAUGGCUGGAUCAUGUCACCAGUCAGUAUGGGUCUGUGUCCCCAUUAACAAAUGGGAGUGAUGGUCCAGCAUUGUGGGCCUGAAUCAGAGUGACAGCACAUUGCAAAGGCACCAUGUAAGCUCCAGCAGGUGUGUCACAGCUACUUGUGGUGUCAUGAAAUCUGAAGUCUCUGAUCCAGUGAAUCAGCUUCUGAAUAUUUAAUCAAAGGAAAUUAAAACACUAACUCAGGAGUUCCCAUCAUGGUGCAGUGGUUAACGGAUCCGACUAGGAACCAUAAGGUUGCGAGUUCGAUCCCUGGCCUUGCUCAGUGGGUCGAGGAUCCAGCAUUGCCGUGAGCUGUGGUGUAAGUUGCAGACACGGCUGGGAUCCUGCGUUGCUGCGGCUCUGGCGUAGGCCGGUGGCUAUAGCUCCAAUUAGACCCCUAGCCUGGGAAUCUCCAUAUGCCGCUGGAGCGGCCCUAGAAAAAGGCAAAAAGACAAAACAAACAAACAAACAAACAAAAAAACACUAACUCAAAAAGGUAUCUGUACCCCCAUGUUCAUUGCAGCAUUAUUUACAAUAGCCAGGAUAUGCAAACAACCUAAGUGUCUAUUGAUGGAUGAAUCAAUAAAGAAAUGUGGUGUGUAUAUGUAAUGGAAUAU
RNAcentral lists this long non-coding RNA (1429 nucleotides) under Sus scrofa (pig). RNAcentral describes it as "lncRNA (ENSSSCG00065058844.1)". Lineage: Eukaryota; Metazoa; Chordata; Mammalia; Artiodactyla; Suidae. The record is from RNAcentral.